This 411-nucleotide ribosomal RNA is filed under the name uncultured Helicobacteraceae bacterium. RNAcentral describes it as "bacterial SSU rRNA". It matches the Rfam family "Bacterial small subunit ribosomal RNA", at positions 506 to 916 of the family's 1533-position model. The record is from RNAcentral. Lineage: Bacteria; Pseudomonadati; Campylobacterota; Epsilonproteobacteria; Campylobacterales; Helicobacteraceae.
UGUCAGCCGCCGCGGUAAUACGGAGGGUGCAAGCGUUACUCGGAAUCACUGGGCGUAAAGGACGCGUAGGCUGUCUAGCAAGUCAGAUGUGAAAUCCAAUGGCUCAACCAUUGAACUGCAUUUGAAACUGCUAGGCUAGAGUAUGGGAGGGGGAGAUGGAAUUAGUGGUGUAGGGGUAAAAUCCGUAGAUAUCACUAGGAAUACCGAAAGCGAAGGCGAUCUCCUGGAACAUUACUGACGCUGAGGCGUGAAAGCGUGGGGAGCAAACAGGAUUAGAUACCCUGGUAGUCCACGCCCUAAACGAUGAACACUAGUCGUCGGGAUGCUCGUCAUCUCGGUGAUGCACUUAACAGAUUAAGUGUUCCGCCUGGGGAGUACGGUCGCAAGAUUAAAACUUAAAGAAAUUGACGG